CGGACGGGUGAGUAAUGUCUGGGAAACUGCCCGAUGGAGGGGGAUAACUACUGGAAACGGUAGCUAAUACCGCAUAACGUCGCAAGACCAAAGAGGGGACCUUCGGGCCUCUUGCCAUCGGAUGCGCCCAGAUGGGAUUAGCUAGUAGGUGGGGUAACGGCUCACCUAGGCGACGAUCCCUAGCUGGUCUGAGAGGAUGACCAGCCACACUGGAACUGAGACACGGUCCAG
Molecule: ribosomal RNA, 231 nt
Filed under: uncultured bacterium
Lineage: Bacteria
Description: partial 16S ribosomal RNA
Rfam family: Bacterial small subunit ribosomal RNA
Source: RNAcentral